CCAGUUGACUCAGUUCUGCAGUUAGGAAUAAGAUUAUAUAUUUAUCUCAAUGGGGGAUAUAAAGCCAAUUACUGCAUUCAAUUCAUGACAUUCAACUUUUAACUAGUUCUUUAUGCUUUUUGCAGUUGAAAUUGAUUACAAAAACUUAUAAAAAAUAAUGUCAGUGACGUUGCACACAGAUCUUGGGGAUAUAAAAGUUGAACUUCAUUGCGAACAAGCACCGAAGUCAUGUGAAAAUUUCCUAGCCUUAUGUGCCAGUAACUAUUAUGAUUCGUCUUUGUUUCAUCGUAAUAUAAAAGGAUUUAUGAUACAGACUGGCGAUCCCACAGGUACAGGGAAAGGUGGGACAAGUAUAUGGAAUAGAAAAUAUGAAGAUGAAAUUUGCGAAUCAUUAAGACAUAACAGCCGUGGUGUAAUUUCAAUGGCAAAUAGUGGACCAAAUACGAAUGGAUCACAAUUUUUUAUUACAUAUGGAAAACAACCACAUUUAGACACAAAAUACACAAUCAUAGGUCGUAUUAUUGACGGACUUGAGGUUCUGGACGACCUUGAAAAACUUCCUGUGGAAGAGAAAACAUACAGACCCAUGACUGAUGUUAGGAUACAAAGAGUAACAAUUCAUGCUAAUCCUAUUGCUGAUGCAUCUUAAUAAAAAUCUUGGAUAAGGAUUAUUAUUGGUUUCUGCCUAAUAUAGUACUAAUCUGACACCUUGCCAUUAAAAGGUUUGUAAACCUGUCGGCAUAAGCUCCAACAGAGUAUGAACAAAUAGAAGUGCCUAUGUUGCAGUGGAAAAUCUUUCGAAGUUUUCAAUUUAGCAUGUUAUUAUGGUUGUGGUGGUAUCUUUGCAUAUGUAAGGGAAAUGUUUAAACAAGCAAUUUGAAAUUGUUUUACAAUAAAUUUAAAAGAAUUUUUGAGUUGAUCCGAAGUGCCAAUAAAAAUGAAUUCUCAGGGAUGUCCAAAAUGAAUCAAAUUGAUUCAAAAUAUUUGUAUUCAAUAUUUGAAAUACUUGAUAAUUAGUAAAAAUUUACAGAUUUGUACAUAUGUACAAGCAUAUGGAACAAUCUAUUCUAGAAUGACUUUUUGAUUAAAUUUAUAAUAAAAUAUUUCUUGGAUCUUUCGUACAAAGCCCCCACCAAAAAAAACAUCCCUGCCAAUGUUUAAAAUGAAAAUUUUUUUAAUUAUCCAGUUUGGGUUAGGAAUGCAAAUUGCGCUGGAAAUUCAAAUUAUUCCUAACCCUAGCCCCAACUGGAUUAUUACCUAAAUUGUUAUUUUAAAACAAAGCGGGGGUGUUUUUCUCAAAUCUCACAUUAGUGGCAGGUUUUUUUUCUUUUCUACAUGUUCUGCUAACUGCAAUAAAAGGAUUGAACUAGAGAGGUUUAGCUGCUUUAUGGAAUUAUUUUCACACAAAACUGCUAAUACGGUAUGUUUUUGUAUUCUAUAGUAUGCAAUUUAGUUGUUUAUAACAAUGAGUUUAUGGGGGCGUUUCCUUCGUGAAGCAUCUGAAACCACUUGCUAUACAAAUAUUUCAAAAAAAUUUAUAUCAACAUCAUGUAUGGCAAAUGCUGGCUUUCAAGGGCGAUCAGGGAUCAGCGCAUCUUCCGAAAUGAGACAGAGUCAAAUAACAAGAAAAAGACGUGUUAUUUUGAAACUUGAAAAAAUGCCUCUCCAACAAAAACCAGUUCAGGACUUUCAAAUUAAAUAUUCAUGGAAAACAGAACUACGGCAAAGAUCUCUUGAGCCGCUCACUGCAGAAGAAUUGGAGCGAAGAAUAUUAUUACAAAAAGAAUGGAGUAAGUUUGUAACAAAUCGUAAAAAGAAAGAAGAUGAAAAACUUCUCAUUCUCAAGGAAUCUCAGGAAACAGCACUGUAUGAGUUACGCCUAGAAUCUGAAGAACUUUACCUUGCCGCAACGGAAGUAGAUGAAAACCUCUUUCCAUUUGCCAUGGAAGGCCCUACAGAAACUCCCCCCAACAAAAACUAUGUAGCACCAUUGGGAACUUAUAUCCAGAGAGAGGAAGAGAAUUAGACUCUAGAAAAUCUAAGAAAGGGACGAUUAAUGGAGCUUAUAUUGCAGGGAUUGCGAACCAAUGCCCGCCAUGUUUUUAGGUGACAUGCGAAGUCAACGAAUUAACGCUAAAACAAUUCAGCGAUAAAAACUUGAAUAUUUGAAUCUAACAAUAUGUGAACUACUGUGCAGCUAUUAACAACAAAUGCUGUUAUUUGAAAUAGCAAUACAAUUAAUAACAAUACA
Non-coding RNA from Styela clava, 2251 nucleotides. The record is from RefSeq and is a predicted model, not a curated record. Lineage: Eukaryota; Metazoa; Chordata; Ascidiacea; Stolidobranchia; Styelidae.